GAUGAAGAACGCAGCGAAAUGCGAUAAGUAAUGUGAAUUGCAGAAUUCAGUGAAUCAUCGAAUCUUUGAACGCACAUUGCGCCCGCCAGUAUUCUGGCGGGCAUGCCUGUUCGAGCGUCAUUUCAACCAUCAAGCCCCCGGGCUUGUGUUGGGGUCCUGCGGCUGCCGCAGGCCCUGAAAAGCAGUGGCGGGCUCGCUGUCACACCGAGCGUAGUAGAUUUUAUCUCGCUCAGGGCGUGCUGCGGGUUCCGGCCGUUAAACCACCUUCAUAACCCAAGGUUGACCUCGGAUCAGGUAGGAAGACCCGCUGAACUUAAGCAUAUCAAAAGCGGAGGA
Molecule: unclassified non-coding RNA, 336 nt
Filed under: soil metagenome
Description: partial contains 5.8S ribosomal RNA, internal transcribed spacer 2, and large subunit ribosomal RNA
Rfam family: 5.8S ribosomal RNA (bases 1-120)
Source: RNAcentral